GGAUUCAUCCAGAAAUAGCUAGGUGGAAAUAAAUAAAAGUUAAUCAAAUCUGGUUUGAAUCAUAGAUUUAAAAUUAUAAAAACACGAAAAUAUCAGUAUUCACAGAUAUCGUAGUAAACAUAGAUGGAUUAAUCGAGAAAUAAGAGACUUUGAACCAUAUCUGUUUAGAAUCUCUUAGAGAUUAUCCUCAAGUAACAUGAAAAUCAUAAAACCAGUAGAGAGAUGAGGUCGGAUAGGGCAUGAAAUCGAAGGAAAACCCUAUGAAUCAAGGGGAAUAUCAGUGACAGUGGGCUGGGGUUAAAGAGGG
This 307-nucleotide long non-coding RNA is filed under the name Nicotiana benthamiana. RNAcentral describes it as "long non-coding RNA (NBEN_LNC004824)". Lineage: Eukaryota; Viridiplantae; Streptophyta; Magnoliopsida; Solanales; Solanaceae. The record is from RNAcentral.